UGGGGAAUAUUGGACAAUGGGCGCAAGCUUGAUCCAGCCAUGCCGCGUGAGUGAUGAAGGCCCUAGGGUUGUAAAGCUCUUUCACCGGUGAAGAUAAUGACGGUAACCGGAGAAGAAGCCCCGGCUAACUUCGUGCCAGCAGCCGCGGUAAUACGAAGGGGGCUAGCGUUGUUCGGAUUUACUGGGCGUAAAGCGCACGUAGGCGGACUAUUAAGUCAGGGGUGAAAUCCCGGGGCUCAACCCCGGAACUGCCUUUGAUACUGGUAGUCUUGAGUUAGAGAGAGGUGAGGUGAAUUCCGAGUGUAGAGGUGAAAUUCGUAGAUAUUCGGAAGAACACCAGUGGCGAAGGCGGCUCACUGGCUCGAUACUGACGCUGAGGUGCGAAAGCGUGGGGAGCAAACAGG
RNAcentral lists this ribosomal RNA (404 nucleotides) under Actinomycetes bacterium. RNAcentral's name for it is "Actinobacteria bacterium partial 16S ribosomal RNA". It matches the Rfam family "Bacterial small subunit ribosomal RNA", at positions 355 to 776 of the family's 1533-position model. The record is from RNAcentral. Lineage: Bacteria; Bacillati; Actinomycetota; Actinomycetes.